This 219-nucleotide ribosomal RNA is filed under the name Escherichia coli. Its description in RNAcentral is "partial 23S ribosomal RNA". It matches the Rfam family "Bacterial large subunit ribosomal RNA", at positions 2712 to 2925 of the family's 2925-position model. Lineage: Bacteria; Pseudomonadati; Pseudomonadota; Gammaproteobacteria; Enterobacterales; Enterobacteriaceae. The record is from RNAcentral. RNAcentral also lists the same sequence under 7 other names.
GUGUUCGGGUUGUCAUGCCAAUGGCACUGCCCGGUAGCUAAAUGCGGAAGAGAUAAGUGCUGAAAGCAUCUAAGCACGAAACUUGCCCCGAGAUGAGUUCUCCCUGAGACUUAGAGUCUCCUGAAGGAACGUUGAAGACGACGACGUUGAUAGGCCGGGUGUGUAAGCGCAGCGAUGCGUUGAGCUAACCGGUACUAAUGAACCGUGAGGCUUAACCUU